This 178-nucleotide non-coding RNA is filed under the name Citreicella sp. Lineage: Bacteria; Pseudomonadati; Pseudomonadota; Alphaproteobacteria; Rhodobacterales; Roseobacteraceae. The record is from RNAcentral.
GAGAUAAGGGCAUCGUCAGGUGCCCCUUGCGGGGAGAAUCGGGAAGCCGGUGAAAGUCCGGCGCGGGCCCGCCGCUGUAUCGGGGAUCGUUCGGCAGAGGCCACUGGGGCUAUCCCCGGGAAGGCGCCGGGACGAGAGGAUCCGGAGCCAGAAGACCGGCCUGGCGUCAUCGCGUUUC